CAUGUUUCCAUUGCUGGUAAUUGCUAACUCGCUUCGUCUCUAGUCUACUUGACUUGUGUCUCUGUGCGUCCGUUUUCCGUUGCGAGGUGAGCCGCGGCUGGUCAUCAUUUUGCCACAGCCAGUAGGAAAAUAACUUUCUAAAUGAACCUGGAGGCAGCAAAAAAAAAAAAGCUGGAUAAACUCGUUACCGGUAAACACAGCAGGUUUGUUAAGGACACCCCCAGCUCGACUGAGUUCGUAAGAAAAGAAUCUUGGCAGGAGGUUGUGAAUGAAGCACCACCAGUCACUAACCGAAAAGAUUGAUGGCCUGCUCUGUUUGAUGCAGCUCAGGAUGAGUCUGUGGAAAAAAGGAGAGGUGGCUUAAUGGUGUACCUAACAGAAAAGGAUGAGGAUCUCUUCAAAAAGUUGGAUGGUGGAGAUAUUGUCAAUGAAGUGAUGAAGAUUGUCAUAUCCAGAGGUGCCACCAUGUCUGAUUCAACCAGCGCGAGGAUCUUCAUUGAGGGAACAGAAGUCCUGCAAGACCUGGACGUACCCAGAGCAUGUGCCUUGCUAAUGGGGGUGAUAUACGGACUCAACCUCAGCUACCCAAAAGAAGGGAAAAAUACUUUUGAGGUAUUACUAAAGAUAUUCCUUGAGCUGGAUGGGCUGAAAGCCAGUCUGAAGGUUAUGUCUUUAAAAAGUAAACUGCUAUGCUAAAAAUGUGCAGAAUUAGAAUGUGCUCCAAUUUAACAACAUGGUGUAUGGUGUUUUUUAUUGUAUUCUUUAACAUACACAGUGAAUGAAGCACUGGAUUCAGGGGAUUGGGCCUCCAAAAUUUACAUUAAUAAUUUUAAUAUGUUCUUUUUAAGGGCAACUUAGAAGCUCCCAAAUACACUUUUAAUUUUCAUUAAAGGGAAGCUUCCUUAUUUUUUAACCUGUCUCUUUGUCUGUCUGUCUGUCUGUCUGUCUGACUGACUGAAUGAGGGAAGAAUAUCUUUAAUUGGCCCAGUAUUGACAGAGAGCGCAUCAGCUGGAAGCUGCAAAAUGAGCUAAAACAUAUUUUUUAGGAGAAUUGGUUUUACACAGCCAAAACAAGUAAAGGGAAAGGCUUUCCAUACUGUUGUCAGGACUUACAGUGACCACAUGAGCCUUUUAGAGGGGGAAAAAGAGCACUAUUUGUGAACACAAUUUGACGUAGCACAUUUGCCUCUUAAAACUACAUUUCAUCUCUUUUUGUAGCCACCAGAAAGAUGCGCUCUCCAUUAAUACUGGACUAAUUAAAGAUAUUCUUCUCCCCAUCAGUCUGAUAGACACACGCAUGGGGAAAUGGGCCUAGGUUGAAAAAAUACUGACGCUCUCAGUUAAAAGUGAUUUGGGUAUGAAUUUAUGUAUUUAUUUUUUGUCAAAGUAGGCAUGUUUAUUUUGUUUAUGUUAUAAAAUAUUACUAUAAUAUAGUUUAUAUGUUU
Molecule: long non-coding RNA, 1445 nt
Organism: Etheostoma spectabile (orangethroat darter)
Lineage: Eukaryota; Metazoa; Chordata; Actinopteri; Perciformes; Percidae
Exons: 4
Source: RefSeq, a predicted model, not a curated record